Long non-coding RNA from Micropterus salmoides (largemouth bass), 1583 nucleotides. RefSeq lists it as uncharacterized. The transcript has 2 exons. Lineage: Eukaryota; Metazoa; Chordata; Actinopteri; Centrarchiformes; Centrarchidae. The record is from RefSeq and is a predicted model, not a curated record.
GGAACACCAUGAGAGAGAAACAGUUGAUCUCAGGGUCAAAGAGAGAAGCAGGAACAGAAGCAGCUCCGCUGAUCCAACUCCUCUGAUGGCCGAUCAAUCUGUUUGAUCUUUGAUCAUUGAUCCGAUCUGACUCUGGAUCAGAGAGAAAAUGGAGGUGAAGCAGCUGAUGGAGGACGGAUGAAGACAGGAGGACGCUUUGUCAGCUUCUUCUUCACUCUGACUCCUCCUACUGACUCUCACACACAGUCUACACACUCACUAUUGAUUCCUGCUGAUCAGUGAUGUCAGAGUGAGGUCAGCGUGAUGUCACAUGGCUUGAACGGGCGUGUUUCCUGUGAACCUCCCAGCGGCUGGAUAACAGCUGCGGCUCUCUGGAUAUUUGUGGCUCGUUCUAAUGCGUGCAGUCAAACAAACUUUAUUUCUACAGACACAGAGAAGUCAGCAGCUGCAGGAAAUCAGAACCACUGACAGGAAGUUAAGAGUCAAGUUAAACCACAUGUCAGAACUUUCUACAGCAGCAGGAUUUAGAAGAUGCUGGAAGCUGCUGUCUUUAGAUUUUGGACCCGUCACAAUUUGUCACAUUUUCUGAAGCCACAACAAAUCUUGUUGAAAGGAAACAGUUGAUUGAAGGUCCAGUUUCAAACGAAGAGUCAAAGCUUCUCUUUGUGUCGACUCCUUUAAUGAGAACAUUGAAAAGGACUCGAGUCCAAGUCUCAAGUGUCCAGCUCAGAUUAUUCCAGCACCAACCCUGGCAGGAUGCAAGUUAAACAGAAAGCAACACAUUUAGUGACAGAACAGAAAGCAGCCAGCUGUUAAAAUGGACUCAGAGAAUGAAGACACAAUAAGAUUUGAUUCAGUCAGACUUUCACAAGAACAAAGGUUUGUUCAGCCUGAACACAAAUGUGGUCUGUAGUGUUUUUGUAGUCCCUGUUUAUUCAGCGCCUCUUCCUCCUCACUACACACUGGAUCAAAGCACAGCAGUUAAACCCAGAGGCCUCCAGUGGACCUGGUUCAGGCCUCUGAAACAUCUGGACUCUGUGAUCUUUGUCUUCCAGCGUUGACAUUUGGAGCAGGUAUAAACAGACGUCACGUGAUCUAGUUUGUUUGAAGCGUACCGAGUCCUUCAGACGUUGAUCUCAGAACUCAGCAGAAACUCCACUUCUUUAGUCUCUUUCCUCCAGGUUCUGGUUUUUCUCGUCUCUCUGUUCAUUCCUCAAAGAUAAAGCUGGAUUUUUCAUUGAAGCUGAAACAUUUCAGUAAAUAUGCCAGAUUUAGCCAGAAGGCUGUUUUUCAUCUGUAGUCAGUACAAGUCAACACAAAACAGACAACAUAGUAAAACCAACCCAGGGACCAGUAGACUCCAGCACAAUAUACUAGCAGUCAUUAUGUUCCAGUACACAGGUCAUGAACUGUUACCAGAGGAAAUCAGAAGCUUACAGUAAUCUGUUGGACUCAAAGAUGUUAUGUUAUUAAAGUGCUGUUUAUGCACUCAGAUCUAAUUCAAUAAUCUGGUUUCCUGCAGCGGUUUGAAGCCAAAAUAAACAUUUUGCUGUGAUUUCAUUUCAAUAAACUGAUCAAAAUGA